This 303-nucleotide long non-coding RNA is filed under the name Helianthus annuus (common sunflower). Its description in RNAcentral is "sRNA HanXRQr2_Chr12g0549291". Lineage: Eukaryota; Viridiplantae; Streptophyta; Magnoliopsida; Asterales; Asteraceae. The record is from RNAcentral.
UAUGUAAGGUUCUUUAGGAAUUGAUUUUAAUAACCGGUACGUGUUCAUGUUCAGGUUCUGGAGUUUGGACGAGGGUUAAAGUUAUAAUUGCGUAGAUUCACUACGUGUUAAGGGAGUCGUUGUCUUUGGAUGGAGAUGCGUCUUGACGAUGAAAGGCUGUACCAGAAGUAGCGGGAUAUCGAAAAGUAAAUGCUAUACCGGAGCCUUUGGAUGACGAUGCGUUUUGAUGAUUAGGCAGUCAUUGUAUUUCGAUGGCAAAGCAUCUUGAGAAUGCAAACAGUCGAUGCCUAUAAUAACCCAAUU